Molecule: transfer RNA, 71 nt
Filed under: Loxodonta africana (African savanna elephant)
Lineage: Eukaryota; Metazoa; Chordata; Mammalia; Proboscidea; Elephantidae
Rfam family: tRNA
About the family: Transfer RNA (tRNA) molecules are approximately 80 nucleotides in length.
Source: Rfam by way of RNAcentral
GCCUUGGUGCUUCAGUGGUAGGAUUCUUGCCUUCCAAGCAGGAGAUCUGGGUUCAAUUUCCAGCCAAUGUA